This is a long non-coding RNA of Lolium rigidum, 644 nucleotides long. RefSeq lists it as uncharacterized. NCBI's taxonomy places the organism in Eukaryota, Viridiplantae, Streptophyta, Magnoliopsida, Poales, Poaceae. The transcript has 2 exons. The record is from RefSeq and is a predicted model, not a curated record.
ACCACCUAAGUUAUGGUUAAAGACUUGAAUAUUGGGUAUAACAUAAGUGAGGGAUCUAUUCAAGUGCUGUAGAAUAUAAAAGUUUUUAUGCACUGCAUUCAUCCGCCAGAUUCUAGGACACUUACAAGGGCAAAGUGAGAUUGAGUCAGGGAAUGAGAUUAUGGAGGUGCGGCAUAAAAAAGGCGUGCCAUUGAAGAUUUUGUAAAAUGCGAUUAUGUGUGCCGCCAUCUAUGCCACCCAAGCAGGAGCAGCUUGGUUGGUUCAAUCCGGCUGACACCAACGUCGGGGACCAGGGCCCUUGACAAGUGAUCCCUGGAUAUAGAAGACCAUUUAGCCAAACUAUCUGUCGGCCCUGCAGGUACAGCCGACGAUAUCAUCAUUCUCUUCUCUGACAAAGACAACGCCAGCGAGAGUUCACCGUGCAAGGGGCAGGAAUAAUCAGAGUACGUGCCUAGGCAUGGUGGUCUACAUUGCUCUUUAAAUUCAAUUUUGUGCAUGUGUAUUUUGGUCUAUCGUCACCUAUGUGGUUAGUGUUCUGCAUCCUGUUAGUGUCCAUCGCUUAAUGAGCUAUGUAAUGGAAUCUAAAGUAAUAUGAGCAACGAUGUUUCCUAUUCCACGGAUAAUGGUAUGUUCACUUCUGAAUC